Molecule: ribosomal RNA, 425 nt
Filed under: uncultured bacterium
Lineage: Bacteria
Description: partial 16S ribosomal RNA
Rfam family: Bacterial small subunit ribosomal RNA
Source: RNAcentral
GUGGGGAAUCUUGCGCAAUGGGCGAAAGCCUGACGCAGCCAUGCCGCGUGGAUGAUGAAGGUCUUAGGAUUGUAAAAUCCUUUCACCGGUGAAGAUAAUGACUGUAGCCGGAGAAGAAGCCCCGGCUAACUUCGUGCCAGCAGCCGCGGUAAUACGAAGGGGGCUAGCGUUGCUCGGAUUUACUGGGCGUAAAGGGCGCGUAGGCGGACAUUUAAGUCAGGGGUGAAAUCCCGGGGCUCAACCUCGGAACUGCCUUUGAUACUGGGUGUCUUGGGUAUGGGAGAGGUGUGUGGAACUCCGAGUGUAGAGGUGAAAUUCGUAGAUAUUCGGAAGAACACCAGUGGCGAAGGCGACACACUGGCUCAUUACUGACGCUGAGGCGCGAAAGCGUGGGGAGCAAACAGGAUUAGAAACCCUUGUAGUCC